Molecule: ribosomal RNA, 1311 nt
Filed under: Campylobacter jejuni
Lineage: Bacteria; Pseudomonadati; Campylobacterota; Epsilonproteobacteria; Campylobacterales; Campylobacteraceae
Description: partial 23S ribosomal RNA
Rfam family: Bacterial large subunit ribosomal RNA
Source: RNAcentral
AAGUUUCUAAGUUUAGCUAAUGUUGCCCGUACCGUAAACCGACACAGGUGGGUGGGAUGAGUAUUCUAAGGCGCGUGGAAGAACUCUCUUUAAGGAACUCUGCAAAAUAGCACCGUAUCUUCGGUAUAAGGUGUGGUUAGCUUUGUAUUAGGAUUUACUCCGAAAGCAAGGAAACUUACAACAAAGAGUCCCUCCCGACUGUUUACCAAAAACACAGCACUCUGCUAACUCGUAAGAGGAUGUAUAGGGUGUGACGCCUGCCCGGUGCUCGAAGGUUAAUUGAUGGGGUUAGCAUUAGCGAAGCUCUUGAUCGAAGCCCGAGUAAACGGCGGCCGUAACUAUAACGGUCCUAAGGUAGCGAAAUUCCUUGUCGGUUAAAUACCGACCUGCAUGAAUGGCGUAACGAGAUGGGAGCUGUCUCAAAGAGGGAUCCAGUGAAAUUGUAGUGGAGGUGAAAAUUCCUCCUACCCGCGGCAAGACGGAAAGACCCCGUGGACCUUUACUACAGCUUGACACUGCUACUUGGAUAAGAAUGUGCAGGAUAGGUGGGAGGCUUUGAGUAUAUGACGCCAGUUGUAUAUGAGCCAUUGUUGAGAUACCACUCUUUCUUAUUUGGGUAGCUAACCAGCUUGAGUUAUCCUCAAGUGGGACAAUGUCUGGUGGGUAGUUUGACUGGGGCGGUCGCCUCCCAAAUAAUAACGGAGGCUUACAAAGGUUGGCUCAGAACGGUUGGAAAUCGUUCGUAGAGUAUAAAGGUAUAAGCCAGCUUAACUGCAAGACAUACAAGUCAAGCAGAGACGAAAGUCGGUCUUAGUGAUCCGGUGGUUCUGUGUGGAAGGGCCAUCGCUCAAAGGAUAAAAGGUACCCCGGGGAUAACAGGCUGAUCUCCCCCAAGAGCUCACAUCGACGGGGAGGUUUGGCACCUCGAUGUCGGCUCAUCGCAUCCUGGGGCUGGAGCAGGUCCCAAGGGUAUGGCUGUUCGCCAUUUAAAGCGGUACGCGAGCUGGGUUCAGAACGUCGUGAGACAGUUCGGUCCCUAUCUGCCGUGGGCGUAAGAAGAUUGAAGAGAUUUGACCCUAGUACGAGAGGACCGGGUUGAACAAACCACUGGUGUAGCUGUUGUUCUGCCAAGAGCAUCGCAGCGUAGCUAAGUUUGGAAAGGAUAAACGCUGAAAGCAUCUAAGCGUGAAGCCAACUCUAAGAUGAAUCUUCUCUAAGCUCUCUAGAAGACUACUAGUUUGAUAGGCUGGGUGUGUAAUGGAUGAAAGUCCUUUAGCUGACCAGUACUAAUAGAGCGUUUGGCUUAUCUUU